AAUAAAUGCCUUCUGGACUGAAUUCAGGUGGGAGAAAUAAAAGGAAAAUGCAAGCCGUGUUUAGGAAACGAGCUAUCACACAAAAAUAAAACAGAAAAAGGAAAUAAAUUUUCACGAGCAACAUCUCCUAACUUCAAUAUCCAGAGAGAAAUUAAGAAAAUAAGAGGAAAGAUGAAAGCCUAACAAGAUUUAAGAAGAAAGUUUUCCAUUAUUCAUUUAAUUCACUUUUAG
Molecule: long non-coding RNA, 231 nt
Filed under: Gorilla gorilla gorilla (western lowland gorilla)
Lineage: Eukaryota; Metazoa; Chordata; Mammalia; Primates; Hominidae
Description: lncRNA (ENSGGOG00000044622.1)
Source: RNAcentral